GCUGUUUUGUGUAAUGGUAGAAUCAGUGGAUUCAGUAGUUUCAUUACUAUUUUUCUGAGACUCCAACUCAAACUCAUUCUUUUCCUUUUUGUCAAAUUGUUCUUCUGUCUUGUUAGAACUUUCUUGUGACUUGUUAUCCACUACAGCACUGGAGGCGUUAUCUCCGGAAUAAUUUUCCUCCCUCGCCUCAUUGUUCUUUUCACCAUCUUGAACCUGAUUAUCAGAUGAAGUAUCUUCCUUAAUCUUAUCAUGCUCUUCUUUCUCUCCUCCUUCUGUUCCAUUGGUCUCCUCUGUCCCUUGUUUACUAUCUUGCUCGUGAUUUUCUCCCACUUGUUCCUUCGCAUCGCUUCCGUUCUGGUUGCUUUCUUCAUUCUCUUUAUCUUUACUAUUUGUUUCACUUGUUUCUUCAUUCUCUUGCUUACUCUUUUCCUCGGUAAUUUCUCCAGUUUCUUUCUCUCCCCCUUCAUUUUUCUUCAAUUCAUUCUCUUGCUGACUCUUUUCUUCAUCUUUGUUCUCUUCAUUCUCUUGCUGACUCUUUUCUUCAUCUUUGUUCUCUUCAUUCUCUUGCUGAAUCUUUUCUCCAUCUUUAAUCUCUUCAUUUUCUUGCUUACUCUUUUCUUCAUCUUUGUUCUCUUCAUUCUCUAGAUGACUCUUUUCCUCACUACUUUCUCCAGUUUCUUUGCUCUCUUCAUUUUCUAAAUGACUCUUUUCCUCACUACUUUCUCCAGUUUCUUUGCUUUCUUCAUUUUCUAAAUGACUCUUUUCCUCACUAAUUUCUCCAGUUUCUUUGCUCUCUUCAUUUUCUAAGUGACUCUUUUCCUCAAUACUUUCUCCAGUUUCUGUGUCCUCUACUUCCUUUUUGAUUUCCUCAUUCUCUUUCUCUACACUUUCAUUCUCCUUGUUCUCUGCAUUGUCAUUCUCUUCAUCAACUUUCUCUGUAUGCUGUUCACCUUCCAAGUCAGUCUUAGCAUUUUGAGAACUCUCUUCACUCUCUUGCUCUACCGAAUCCUCUUUAUGCUCAGAAUUAUCUUCCACACC
This 1038-nucleotide long non-coding RNA is filed under the name Medicago truncatula (barrel medic). Its description in RNAcentral is "lncRNA gene25742". The record is from RNAcentral. Lineage: Eukaryota; Viridiplantae; Streptophyta; Magnoliopsida; Fabales; Fabaceae.